RNAcentral lists this ribosomal RNA (292 nucleotides) under uncultured bacterium. Its description in RNAcentral is "partial 16S ribosomal RNA". It matches the Rfam family "Bacterial small subunit ribosomal RNA", at positions 505 to 796 of the family's 1533-position model. The record is from RNAcentral.
GUGUCAGCCGCCGCGGUAAAACGUAGGACGCAAGCGUUAUCCGGAGUUACUGGGCGUAAAGGGCGGGUAGGCGGGGUCUCAAGUGGGCUGUGAAAGCGCCCGGCUUAACCGGGCGAGGCCAGUCCAAACUGAGGCUCUGGAGGGCAGCAGAGGUGCGUGGAAUUCCGGGUGGAGUGGUGAAAUGCGUAGAGAUCCGGAGGAACACCAGAGGCGAAGGCGGCGCACUGGGCUGUACCUGACGCUGAACCGCGACAGCCAGGGGAGCGAACGGGAUUAGAAACCCCCGUAGUCC